This 201-nucleotide long non-coding RNA is filed under the name Capsicum annuum. RNAcentral describes it as "long non-coding RNA (CANN_LNC009468)". Lineage: Eukaryota; Viridiplantae; Streptophyta; Magnoliopsida; Solanales; Solanaceae. The record is from RNAcentral.
AUGAUGACAGAUAUAAAAGCGGUAACACAUAGGAUAAAUACUAUAAACAAAGAGCACGAAAAACACACAAAAGUGAAAACAAUAACACAAACAAAAUCACAAACAAUGCUUAUACACUCGUAAUGCCAAACAAAGCCGAUACGACUCCAAAAAUAGCUCGAAUUCUAAAAACUUGUCAUUGGUCCCCAGCAGAGUCGCCAG